This 628-nucleotide ribosomal RNA is filed under the name uncultured bacterium. RNAcentral describes it as "bacterial SSU rRNA". It matches the Rfam family "Bacterial small subunit ribosomal RNA", at positions 200 to 816 of the family's 1533-position model. The record is from RNAcentral.
ACCAAAGCCGGGGCAACCUGGCGCUUUUGGAGGAGCUCGUGGCCUAUCAGCUAGUUGGUGAGGUAACGGCUUACCAAGGCAACGACGGGUAGCUGGUCUGAGAGGACGACCAGCCACACUGGAACUGAGAUACGGUCCAGACACCUACGGGUGGCAGCAGUCGAGAAUUUUUCUCAAUGGGGGAAACCCUGAAGGAGCGACGCCGCGUGGAGGAUGAAUGCUUUCGGGUUGUAAACUCCUGUCAUUUGGGAACAAGGCCUUACGUUAACUGCGUGGAGGAUUGAUAGUACCAGAAGAGGAAGAGACGGCUAACUCUGUGCCAGCAGCCGCGGUAAUACAGAGGUCUCGAGCGUUGUUCGGAUUCAUUGGGCGUAAAGGGCGCGUAGGCGGCGGGGUAAGUCUGGUGUGAAAUCUAGGAGCUCAACUCCUAAACUGCACUGGAUACUGCUCUGCUAGAGGACUGGAGAGGAGACUGGAAUUCACGGUGUAGCAGUGAAAUGCGUAGAUAUCGUGAGGAAGACCAGUGGCGAAGGCGGGUCUCUGGACAGUUCCUGACGCUGAGGCGCGAAGGCCAGGGGAGCAAACGGGAUUAGAUACCCCGGUAGUCCUGGCAGUAAACGGUGCACGU